GGCAUGCAAGUCGAACGAGAUCUUCGGAUUUCGUGGCAGACGGGAGCGUAACGCAUUGGUAACCUACCUUCAAGUGGAGCAUAACCCUAAGAAAUUGGGAAUAAUUCUCCAUGUGCUUUAGUUUCAUAUGUUACUAAAGUAAAGAUUUAUCGCUUGAAGAGGGGCCUAUGUUCUAUCAGCUUGUUGGUGAGGUAAAAGCUCACCAAGGCUACGACGGAUACCGGGUGUGAGAGCAUGACCCGGCUCAAUGGGACUGAGACACUGCCCAUACUCCUACGGGAGGCUGCAGUCGAGAAUCUUCCGCAAUGGCCGAAAGGCUGACGGAGCGACACCGCGUGUAGGAAGACGCCCCUUGGGGUGUAAACUACUUUUAUCAAGGACGAACAAAUGACGGUACUUGAAGAAUAAGGGGCUGCUAACUUCGUGCCAGCAGCAGCGGUAAUACGAAGGCCCCAAGCGUUAUCCGGAAUUACUGGGCGUAAAGCGUCCGCAGGCUGUUUUAUAAGUAUGCUGUUAAAUCUCAGGGCUCAACUCUGAGGCCGCAGCGUAAACUGUAAGACUAGAGGGUGGGAGAGGCAACUGGAAUUGUCGGUGUAGGAGUAAAAUCCAAUGAUAUCGAUAGGAACACCAUAUGCGAAGGCAUGUUGCUGGAACACUCCUGACGCUCAGGGACGAAAGCGUGGGUAGCGAAUGGGAUUAGAUACCCCAGUAGUCCACGCCGUAAACGAUGCACACUAGGCAUUGGUAGUAUCGACCCUAUCAGUGCCGUUGAACCAAGCUAACGCGUUAAGUGUGCCGCCUGGGGAGUACGGUC
This 814-nucleotide ribosomal RNA is filed under the name uncultured bacterium. Its description in RNAcentral is "bacterial SSU rRNA". It matches the Rfam family "Bacterial small subunit ribosomal RNA", at positions 52 to 887 of the family's 1533-position model. The record is from RNAcentral.